GACGAACGCUGGCGGCGUGCUUAACACAUGCAAGUCGAACGCUGAAGCUCAGCUUUUGUUGGGUGGAUGAGUGGCGAACGGGUGAGUAACACGUGAGUAACCUGCCCCCUUCUUUGGGAUAACGCCCGGAAACGGGUGCUAAUACUGGAUAUUCACUGGUCUUCGCAUGGGGGUUGGUGGAAAGGGUUUUUCUGGUGGGGGAUGGGCUCGCGGCCUAUCAGCUUGUUGGUGGGGUGAUGGCCUACCAAGGCUUUGACGGGUAGCCGGCCUGAGAGGGUGACCGGUCACAUUGGGACUGAGAUACGGCCCAGACUCCUACGGGAGGCAGCAGUGGGGAAUAUUGCACAAUGGGCGCAAGCCUGAUGCAGCGACGCCGCGUGAGGGAUGGAGGCCUUCGGGUUGUGAACCUCUUUCGCUCAUGGUCAAGCCGCAACAAUGGUUGUGGUGAGGGUAGUGGGUGAAGAAGCGCCGGCUAACUACGUG
RNAcentral lists this ribosomal RNA (483 nucleotides) under uncultured bacterium. RNAcentral's name for it is "partial 16S ribosomal RNA". It matches the Rfam family "Bacterial small subunit ribosomal RNA", at positions 28 to 507 of the family's 1533-position model. The record is from RNAcentral.